GAUGAAGAACGCAGCGAAAUGCGAUAAGUAAUGAGAAUUGCAGAAUUCAGUGAAUCAUCGAAUCUUUGAACGCACCUUGCGCCCUUUGGCCAUUCCGAAGGGCAUGCCUGUUUGAGUAUCAUGAACACCUCAACUCUUUAUGGUUUUCCAUGAUGAGCUUGGACUUUGGGGGUUUUGCUGGCCUAUGGUCGGCUCCUCUAAAAUAAAUCAGCUUACCGGUGUUUGGUGGGUAUCAUGGGUGUGAUAACUAUCUACGCUUGUGGUUUUUCCACCAGGUAACCUUCGACAGCGGAGGUUCACUGGAGCUCAUAGAUGUCUCUCCUCAGCGAGGACAGCCCUUUGAAUGUUUGAUCUCAAAUCAGGUAGGACUACCCGCUGAACUUAAGCAUAUCAAUAAGCGGAGGA
This 405-nucleotide unclassified non-coding RNA is filed under the name soil metagenome. Its description in RNAcentral is "partial contains 5.8S ribosomal RNA, internal transcribed spacer 2, and large subunit ribosomal RNA". The stretch from base 1 to 121 matches the Rfam family "5.8S ribosomal RNA", at positions 35 to 154 of the family's 154-position model. The record is from RNAcentral.